Aethalodelphis obliquidens (Pacific white-sided dolphin) is the source of this 4682-nucleotide long non-coding RNA. RefSeq lists it as uncharacterized. The transcript has 2 exons. Lineage: Eukaryota; Metazoa; Chordata; Mammalia; Artiodactyla; Delphinidae. The record is from RefSeq and is a predicted model, not a curated record.
GUCCCCUGCAUUGGCAGGCGGAUUCUUAACCACUGUGCCACCAAGGAAGCCCCAUUACUCUCCUUUAGGGCCACCUCUGAGUGGGACUGUAGAGCCGCAGCCAUCCACUCCUGGACCAUCUGUAAACCAGGAUCAAGGUUUUUCCUCCUCAAUCUACUGGUCAUAAGGACCUCCCUGUGAGGCCAUAGGUGUGGAUUGUGGGUGAGGAGACACAGCCUAUCAGCACAUUUCGACAGACGCUUUAGGUACGUGGUCUACCUUCAAAGGCACAACAGUUUUACCAAAUGUUUUGCCGUGGUAGCACAGGGCUCACUGGCUUCCCAGCCCACCUAGAUGCAUACUUACACCAAGGGAAAAGCAGCCCCUGCCAUCUGGGAGCCGGCCUGGCGCUCACAGCUACGCCAUGGCGUUCUCCUGUUGAACGUAAACAAGUUCACAGAACAUGACCUAGAUGGAUCGAGACAAAAACAAGAGCACCCUGUAAUCAGGUCUAAACACAGAAAAAAAUGUUUCAAAACCACGAAAAAUGACCAAACAUUCCCCCUCUCUUAUCUACUAUGAGUGAUGAAUGCUUCUUUACCAAGUGCAGCCUUCCCUCCUUAUAGAUGAGUUACUAUGAUAUUCAAGCAUUUAAUUUCCCCCACUACCUGACAGCGUCUAAUCCUGCUUCCUAUUAAACUUUCACCAAAACCACCUUUUACAAGCCUGUAACCAAGUGCCUUCUACCAUCUUCUUACUGAGACACCCCAUGACUCCCAGGUGUGUGGUCAGCAGUGCGGAGUGAAGUCAACUUUUUUUUGCCACCGUCCGCGUCUUGCGGGAUCUUAGUUCCCCCACUACGGAUCAAAUCCGUGCCCCCUGCAGGGGAAGCAUGGAGUCCUAGCCACUGGACCACCGGGGAAGUCCCCGGAGUAAAGUCAACUUGUUCAGUGACAGGUGUGCUCCUCUGGUCUUUAGCUGGAGGGCAGUGACAUCACCCACACCUCACCUGUUACCACAGGUGGUAAGGCCACAUUAUUUCUAGCAGCAAAACCUGGGGCAGUCAGGGUGCGGGGAGCAGAACCACGGGAGGUAAUCUAAGCAAGGCUGACUUACUAAACUUGAUCAGGAAGAGCUGGAGGAACAAGGUCUGGGCUUGGCCUCUGGGAACACUUCCAGAGUAACAAAAACUGCCUGGGGUGGGGGUGGGGCUUCCGCGAUCUAAGAACACUUCUAGAGUAACAAAAACUGCCUGGGGUGGGGGUGGGGCUUCCGCCCUCUGCGCACACUUCCAGAGUAACAAAAACUGCCUGGGGUAGGGGUGGGGCUUCCGCCCUCUGGAACACUUCCAGAGUAACAAAAACUGCCUGGGGUGGGGGUGGGGCUUCCGCGCUCUGGACCUGCCUCUAGAGUCACGAGUUUGCAAAACAUCCAGAGCUACCAUUCCAGGUUCUGGCGCCCAAACAGAGAUGCUUCUGCUGCUACUCUCACUGCUGCCCCCGCCUGCCAGCACCCGGGCAGCUCGGAGGAGACACGGGAACAUGCUCAGAGAGUCCUCAUCGCUUCACGACCUUGCUCGUCGGCAGCAAAGAGCAAAGAGCAGCAGGGGCAUGGCCUCCACGCCCUUUCCCACUUCCAAAGCUUCUGGAAUAUCAUGCAGUUUGCCGACUCCAAUUCCCAUGCAGAUCUGAGACGGAGGAAGUGCGGACACGCGGCUGUAGCAAUUCCCCCAACGCGGCCUCGAGCAGCUGCACGACCCACUUCCAGAUUUCUCUUUUUCUUUUUUUUAACAAAACCAAACUUUUGGGUUUAACCCCACUGGGUCCGGACUUCUGACUGGCGCGGGCAAGAGCAGGGUCUCCCCGGGAUCUGGGUCUGGGACUCUGACUGGGCUCCGCAAGCAGAAGCCCAGGUAUCAGCUGCGGCAGAAAGGGCUCCUGGGGCUCCCUCGGAAAGGCCUACCCUGCCCUGCCCUGUCGGGGGAGGGGGCUGCGUGGGCAGUGUGGGUACAACUAGUCAACGGUGGUUUCAGGUGAAAUGGGGACAGACACUCAGUUCCAAAGGCAUGAAGGCCCCGGAGCCGUCUGAAGGUAUCUUGGGGAGGGCAGGCACUGGGGCGCUGAGGAAGCCCACAGGGGGAUAUCUCUCCAGAUUCCAUCUGUGCAGGCAGUGAACCCCCGGCCUCUCCCAGACGGGCCUCUAGCACUUUCCUUGAACCACAGCACAGGAGGUCAGGGCUUCCUGGGGUGCGGACACCGGAGCGCGAACUCUCAGACGUCCUGUUACACAUGCGUGUUGUGAAGUCACACUCGGCUAGUUAGUGAGGCCCGCCCGCAUUCCAGGGAGGACCGCAGGCCGCAGGGGAGACCUCGCACCCGGGUUGGCAGCCGUGGGCGGGGCGAGGAGGGGCCGCGCAUUCCAGCGGGCGGAGGCGGGUCCCGUGGCCCGGCUGGCUGACCGCGCCUCCCGCCCGGCCGCCAAUGCGCCUGCGCCUGCGCGGGGGCGGGGCUGCGUAGAAUCAGCUUUUAUGGAAAGUUGGUGUCUGUGGCGGGAUCGCGGUCUGUUACGCAGAGAGGCCGGGACGCGGGAAGUCUGGGCUGCCGUGGGCCGGGAGGCAGGGGACGGGCCGGGCCACGAAGGGCCCCCGACGCCGGCCCCCACUAGGUGUUUGUGCUGCGGCGGCGGCGGAGGGGCCAUCUCUGGGACGAAGACGCAUUCGGGUGGCGGGGAAGGAGCCUCUCAGGGCAGCGACUUCGGUACCUCCUUGGUGACUUGGAGGGAGGGGCGUGUCCAGAGGAGGACGUCCUUGCUCAAGGUGUAAGCCAUUUUGAAGAUCUUAGAAGGCUAAAGGGCUGACUGAUAAGGACCAGAUAUCAUACUGGUGGGAACAGCUGAGCACCCCUGUUCUCCGCCCAUGGAUCUUGCAGGGCCAAGGCCACGGCACAGGCUGGUCCUCUACCCAGCCAGCACCAAGGCCCCCAUCUGGGGAUGCUGAAGUGGUGGCACAGGACCUCAUUGGAGAUUCCACCUCAGGUUAGUCUCCACCUCAUGCUGGACCUGAGUGCACACCUGGUCCACCUGGGCCUCACUCUUUGCUGGGACCUCCAGGCCCCAGCACCGCCCCUAGCAGGCCAGUGUGUGCCCUGCACUGUCAGCCCCUCAACUCACCUGCUGAAGCUUCCACCACCACCCAAUGUGCUUGCCAAGGUCCGGGUGGCCCUGCAAGGCAUGAAGAGCUUGUGGAAUUUUAUACCCCCCCAUUAAACUACCAUUCAAGAGUGAGGAUAAAAUGAAAAUAUUUUCAGAGAAACAAAAAUGGAAAGUGUUAGUAACAGACUGUGAUUAAAGUAUGUACUUCAGGAAAAAGGAAAUUGAACCCAGAACGAAGAUUUGAGAAGAAUGGUGAACGAAACAGAUGAGGCAAGACCCAGAGAAGUCAGUGAACAAACUGAGUCUGGGUGAUCCCAUUAUUUCAACCUAUUAGACAACAAAAAAAGAACCUCCACAUUCCAAGGAGUGACACGAGAACCCUUCUGCAUACAACUUAUUAAGAGGUGUCCGACUGAUUCGGGGACCAUAUCACUCUCAACAGGCUAUUGAAGAGGAAGUUUAUGGUAAUGGUGGCCUAGGUAGUCUAGACCUGCCUGCCAAAGACAAGUGAACUGAUGAACAAGAUCUAGAAAACAUAUUCUUCAGAGCACCAGAGAGCUUACAAGAUAACAACUCAGAGAAAACAACCCAGGCAGCAUCACACAGUAGGAAUCCGGAGAAGUGAGUCUGGCAGUUGGGAAAGCUUUUUCCCUAGGGACAAAUCCAGGAGAGAUGGAAGGCUGUGCUGCAUCUUCGAAAGCCUCAGUGGCUUAGAGGUGUUUGUCUGUAGAGAUGACCAAUGAUGACUCCUGCACACACAGUUGCUCCUUCCAUAAGGAGGCGAGUCUGUUUGCUUUCCCUUAGAAUCUGACUUCCUUUGACUAAUAGAAUGUGGCAUUAAGUGAUACUGUGUCAGGUCCAGGUCAAUGCCUCAAGAGGACUAGCAGCUCCUCUCUGGUCCUCUUGGGAUGCAGUCGCCAGAUAAAGAAGUCAAGACUAGACUACUGGAUGGUGGGAGACCAUAUGAAGAGAAAGAGAGAGCUGAAGCCAUUCCAGCCUUCCCGGAUGAGUGAAUACAUGCACAUUCCCUCCCCAGCUGAGCUGCAUAAGUGGCUUCAGCAGCAGAACUGUCCAGCUAAGCCCAGUCAAUACUCAGAGUCAUAAGAAAUAAUACAUCUUUUAAAUUUAAGCCACUGAGUCUCUGGGUUUCUGUUAUGCAGCAACAAAUAAUCAACAGAGUCUGUGGCCCACCAAGAUUGGGGCCCCAGGGAAAACACGUGCUACUUUGAGCUGGAAUCUUAAAGGGUUGCACCCUAGAAGUGAGGGUUAACUGGAAGUAAAUCAACCUUCAGAGAGUCUGGAGCCCAGCUUUAGGAAAAUCUUUUAAGGAAAUCUCAAGCCCUGAAAUUAGAUUAAGCCUGAAAAUUAGAUUAGAUUAAGCCCUCUCUUAUGGUUAGUGCUCCCAGGCACCCGGAAAAAAACAAUUAAAACUCUUCUGGAGAAAGAGAACAACCUAAGCUUCAAAUUGUUUCAGUGAUUUAUCCAAUAUGUAAAAAAGAUCAUCAGGCCCAUAUGAGAGAUGAAGAAAAAAAAAACAAGGAAGAAAAAAAAAA